GCAUGGUUUGACUUACACUGUUUUUAAAGAUUGCUCUGGCUGCAAUGUGGGUCCUGGCUUCCCACACCAGGGCAUGCUGGUGCCAUUCACGGAGAUAAGAAAUACUGGAAGACCAGUGAAAUCAGGCUGAUCUGGACCUGAGUCACAGCUCCAUCAAAUGCUGGAUUAUUCAGGAGAACUUGUAUGAUCUCUUCAACCUUCUAGAUGAGCUCCAUUUGUUAAAAUUACAUUAAAUAAUAUAUAAA
Homo sapiens (human) is the source of this 245-nucleotide long non-coding RNA. The record is from Ensembl. NCBI's taxonomy places the organism in Eukaryota, Metazoa, Chordata, Mammalia, Primates, Hominidae.